This is a long non-coding RNA of Brienomyrus brachyistius, 480 nucleotides long. RefSeq lists it as uncharacterized. The transcript has 2 exons. The record is from RefSeq and is a predicted model, not a curated record. Lineage: Eukaryota; Metazoa; Chordata; Actinopteri; Osteoglossiformes; Mormyridae.
GAAGUACUGUUUGGUCUCGAAGGUUUCCUGGGAAGAGGGAGUGCGGCAAGUAGUAUUCCUCUGGACAAGGCGGACCGCUCUUUGUGAAGUUUUUGGGCAUUGAUGCAGGCUGUCCCUAGGCUUAUCAGGUGGAGCCUGGGACCAGUGCUCUGACGACCCCAGUGUGUGUAUUGGAGUGGAUUUGCUGUGCGCUGUCGGUAUGUUUUUUGGUUUUUAUUUUGUUUUGGAGUGAGGACUACUUUGUUGUUUUGAGUGUAUGGUAUUUUGAUUUGUUUAAACCAGGGGUGCUAAUUGAGCAGUAGGGUCCCAGCCUGCUGUGAGGAUACCUCUGGCCGCCCAGUGGCGCGGGCCGGGGUUUUGAACUACCUACUGAAGGACAUACUUCACCAGUGGAAACAUCAACCAGGUCACUGGGAGUUAUUGAACCCGCUCCUCUUUGUUGUGAUUGUUAAUAAAACCAAUAAAUACUUUUAUGAUCCA